This is a long non-coding RNA of Oreochromis aureus, 1316 nucleotides long. The record is from Ensembl. Lineage: Eukaryota; Metazoa; Chordata; Actinopteri; Cichliformes; Cichlidae.
GCGCAUUUAUUUAGACUCGUGGCAUUUAAGCAAUCUACAGGAUCAGGUAGGGGCUUACCGAGCCGGUAUGUCCUGUGGUCACUGCCACAGCCCCAAACUUUAAGGUGUAGGUAGAUCCGUGCGGUUUUGUUCAUAUGGGCAUCUAAAGGAUUGGAGCCUGACCUGACAGGCAGUCGCCCCGCGGGGGAAGCUGCAGACUCGGUGUCGGUGAGCCUUCAGUCCGGAGCGUCCCCCUGUUGCUUUAAGCAGUGCGUCCUGCCGUCCGACAGGAGGCGUGUCUCCCCUACGGCCGGAGCUCAGCGCUACCAGAUGAGAGUGCGGGGGAAGCGACGCGGUUCUUCCGUAGAAACAAACCAACUUCUUUGUGCUGCUUUGAUGACUCUUCUCCGCUCACGCUCUGUCUAAGUAAAUGGAUUUUCCUGCCUAGCAUGGAUGCCCCGACACCACCACCUCCACAUUCACCAUCCUUUUGCUCAGCUGAGGGCUUUUUCUUCUUGGCGCAGUGAGCUGGACUCGUACUGAUUUUUCCCCUCUUGCCAAAUGGAUGUGGGAAAACCGCUGCUCAGCCCGCUGGUGAAGAUCAUGCCUUGAUCUUACAGCUGCCUGAAUUCACGUCGUAGGGGUUAAAGAGAAAACAAUACAGAGGAAUAUACCGAUCCAGGGAUUAAAAUCCAGCGUACCAAACAAGCACCAUGAAGAUCACCCACCUGAUAUUUAAAGCCAGGCUCAGGUGCACCGUCAAGCUUCUACUGCUGCUAACACACUGUGUGGGGCUUUUACAUGGGAUGCCACAUGUCCUGAGAUUUGGAGAACAGCAGCCACGGAGGCUGUACAGACAGCCAGGAACUCAGUCAAACAUUUGGACCACGAGCAGUAAAUGAGCUGCUCUCUUUAUGGUCACCACGAUAUGUACUCUGCAGCAAAUAAAGUCUGUCGAGCUGGUGGUGACAGAUGGUAGAAGAAGAGAAAGUCUGAUGACAAAGAAAGUUAACAGAAGUGAAAAGAGUCUGAGAAAGUCACACAUAAGGAAAUAUGGUCGUCUCUACACGGUGAUAACCUGAAAGACUUCACAGCCGAUCCCGAGGGUGCCGUUAGAUGAGCAGUGAAAAGAGGACAAUUCGUUGUGAGCAGCCUCUUUAGGUUUAUGGCCUUUGGACAUGGAGACGAUGGACAGGACAGGCUGGGAUUCCUAAACACUUCAUGCUGUUUUGUUCAACAGCUGUUUGGUUUAAACCCACUGUGGUUGUGUCGACGCCAAACACAAGAACGUUAAACACAAUCAAGUCCAAAUAUAAAUGUUUCCUUUCUAUACUCAA